Molecule: ribosomal RNA, 115 nt
Filed under: Octodon degus (degu)
Lineage: Eukaryota; Metazoa; Chordata; Mammalia; Rodentia; Octodontidae
Source: RNAcentral
GAUGACUUAGAUUACCCUGAACACGCCCGAUCUCUUCUGAUCUCGGAAGCUAAGCAGCAUGGGGCCUGGUUAGUACUUGGAUGGGAGACUUGGGAAAUUCUGAAUACAGACACUC